CGUGACUCCUCCGCGCUUUGUUUCGUAAAGCCUGAGACUCCCCGAGUCUUCCGACUUCUCCCUGACAUGGCCCUCGUUUGGGCUUCGUCCCCCGCAGAGGAAGCGGAAGUGCAGGUUUCCCCUCUCCUUGUUCUUGGAUGGCAGCUGUGGUUCCGGGAUUACUCUUGGGAUGCUGACGCUGGCCAUGGCUCAUUGUCAUCCCCAAGCCAGGCCAGUUCUCCAGGUGGAACUGUAGUGUAGCGACCUCACUGCUGCGCGCACAGUCUCCCGGGACUUGGACUCGAGGGAGUGACGAGGAGGAGCUCCGAGCUGCGCCUGAGCCGUGCCAGCCGGCGGACCUCAGGCGGUGGACGUCGGCGAUAGCCGUGUGGACGGUGACCGGCUCACUCUGCGGCGCCGUGCUCCCGCUGCUCACCCAAAGAAGUUGUUUCCAUUUUAAACCGGUCUUUUGGGGCUGCAGUAAAAAAUAAGAAAUGGAGUUUUCUUGCUUUUUACUCUAAAAUUCAAUGUAAUUAAAUUUCAUAUAUAUAUAAUAUAUACAUAUAUACAUAGUGUAAAAUAAAAUGUUUCUUGGACAAGAAAUCCCCUGAAAUUCAGCUGUUAUAGUGCUUCACUGUUUUUGCACUGAUUUUUCUAUACCUUAGGUGGUCAGAAGACAACCUUGAAUGCACUCAUAGAGAAAACUGUUACUUUCUGACGUAAUGUAAUUCAGGAAGACAGACGCUGCAAUCACAGAUUUUAAAAAAUUGUUUGCACUUAAAAAUAGUUGAAUGCUGGUGGAAAGUUACUUUGCAGAUGGGUGUAAGGACUCAUGGCCCUCUGAGGUGCGGCGUGAAGAUGCCCUUUUUACCCGUUGACGUUUAUUUUACGUAAAAUAAACUGUUGUUUCCAAUGCAAUCAACUCUGUAUUAUAUGUAUAAAUAUUGUAAUUCUGCAAUUGGGG
RNAcentral lists this long non-coding RNA (943 nucleotides) under Homo sapiens (human). RNAcentral describes it as "HSALNT0216272". The record is from RNAcentral. Lineage: Eukaryota; Metazoa; Chordata; Mammalia; Primates; Hominidae.